UACUAGAGUAGCACUCGCAUAUCAAUAAGCGGAGGAAAAGAAACUAACAAGGAUUCCCCUAGUAACGGCGAGUGAAGCGGGAAGAGCUCAAAUUUGAAAUCUUAAAGGGUUUCCCUUUACGAAUUGUAGUUUAAAGAAGUGUUUUCUGUUGAGGUUUUGGUAAAGUUCUUUGGAAUAGGACAUCAUAGAGGGUGAGAAUCCCGUAUUUGACCUUUACUUUCAACUUUGUGAUACACUUUCAAAGAGUCGGAUUGUUUGGGAAUGCAGUCCAAAAUGGGUGGUAAAUUUCAUCUAAAGCUAAAUAUUGGCGAGAGACCGAUAGCGAACAAGUACCGUGAGGGAAAGAUGAAAAGAACUUUGAAAAGAGAGUUAAACAGUACGUGAAAUUGUCAAAAGGGAAGCGUUUGACACCAGUGUUGUUUUUCUGAAAAUCAAUUAAAGAACUGUUUAUGCUAAGUUGUUUAGACUUUAUCAGCUAUCUGUUUAGUUUUAGGCUUUUCUUUAAUGCACUUUUCAGUUAACAUGUCAACAUCAAUUUCUUUUGCUGUAAAAAAGCUUGAGGAAGGUGGCUUGAGAUUCGUCUUAAGUGUUUAUAGCCUCUUGCCUAUGCAGUCGGAGAGAUUGAGGUCUGCAGCGUAGAUCCUUCGGGGCUAAAUGCAUUUGUGCUAAGUUAUAGCAUUUUAUAGACAACUUGUUGACUAUGAUUUGUCUUGUAGCUUACUCGCUUAUGUUAUUUUACCUACGCUUAGGAUGUUGAGCGCAUGUCUCUCUCU
This 773-nucleotide ribosomal RNA is filed under the name uncultured Neocallimastigales. RNAcentral's name for it is "partial large subunit ribosomal RNA". It matches the Rfam family "Eukaryotic large subunit ribosomal RNA", at positions 20 to 616 of the family's 3401-position model. Lineage: Eukaryota; Fungi; Neocallimastigomycota; Neocallimastigomycetes; Neocallimastigales. The record is from RNAcentral.